Manacus vitellinus (golden-collared manakin) is the source of this 431-nucleotide long non-coding RNA. RefSeq lists it as uncharacterized. The transcript is spliced from 3 exons. The record is from RefSeq and is a predicted model, not a curated record. NCBI's taxonomy places the organism in Eukaryota, Metazoa, Chordata, Aves, Passeriformes, Pipridae.
CCUGACCAGCUGAGGAGGGGACUGAUGAAACAGCUUUGAUGGUCACUAGGAGUCCAGCCAGGGGAAGUGAAGAACUAACCUAUAGUACAUCUAAACAAAGCUAUCUGUAAAGAUCUUAUUAGCAGUGGAGACCAUAAAACUGAAGAGUCUGACUUGGUGUGGGAUGGACAGGAUCAGUUAAGUUAGGACAUGGUCUGUACUACUUUUGCAGUCUGCACUCCUACUACAGAAUGACAGAUACAACCUACGACAAGAGCAAGUACCACUUGUCAGAUCCAGAGGAUGACCAGAACUUCAACAGGACUGCAACAGUCGCUCUCGACAAGAUUACGAUCAUCACUUCAACAGAACUGCAAUCAUCAUCCAGACCAUUUCCUUUUAUUUUGCCUCCAAGGGGACCACAUGGUGGUCAGCACAGGGGUGGAUGAACA